Molecule: ribosomal RNA, 448 nt
Filed under: uncultured bacterium
Lineage: Bacteria
Description: bacterial SSU rRNA
Rfam family: Bacterial small subunit ribosomal RNA
Source: RNAcentral
GAGCGGAUGACGGGAGCUUGCUCCUUGAUUCAGCGGCGGACGGGUGAGUAAUGCCUAGGAAUCUGCCUGGUAGUGGGGGACAACGUUUCGAAAGGAACGCUAAUACCGCAUACGUCCUACGGGAGAAAGCAGGGGACCUUCGGGCCUUGCGCUAUCAGAUGAGCCUAGGUCGGAUUAGCUAGUUGGUGGGGUAAUGGCUCACCAAGGCGACGAUCCGUAACUGGUCUGAGAGGAUGAUCAGUCACACUGGAACUGAGACACGGUCCAGACUCCUACGGGAGGCAGCAGUGGGGAAUAUUGGACAAUGGGCGAAAGCCUGAUCCAGCCAUGCCGCGUGUGUGAAGAAGGUCUUCGGAUUGUAAAGCACUUUAACUUGGGAGGAAGGGCAGUAAGCUAAUACCUUGCUGUUUUGACGUUACCGACAGAAUGAGCACCGGCUAACUCUGUG